CCAGACUCCUACGGGAGGCAGCAGUGGGGGAUAUUGCACAAUGGGGGAAACCCUGAUGCAGCGACGCCGCGUGGGUGAAGAAGCGCCUCGGUGCGUAAAGCCCUGUCAGCAGGGAAGAAAAUGACGGUACCUGAAGAAGAAGCCCCGGCUAACUACGUGCCAGCAGCCGCGGUAAUACGUAGGUGGCAAGCGUUAUCCGGAUUUACUGGGUGUAAAGGGGGCGCAGACGGCGAUGCAAGCCAGGAGUGAAAGCCCGGGGCCCAACCCCGGGACUGCUCUUGGAACUGCGUGGCUGGAGUGCAGGAGGGGCAGGCGGAAUUCCUGGUGUAGCGGUGAAAUGCGUAGAUAUCAGGAGGAACACCGGUGGCGAAGGCGGCCUGCUGGACUGCAACUGACGUUGAGGCCCGAAAGCGUGGGGAGCAAACAGGAUUAGAUACCCCGGUA
RNAcentral lists this ribosomal RNA (444 nucleotides) under uncultured bacterium. RNAcentral describes it as "bacterial SSU rRNA". It matches the Rfam family "Bacterial small subunit ribosomal RNA", at positions 331 to 792 of the family's 1533-position model. The record is from RNAcentral.